UGGGGAAUAUUGGACAAUGGGCGAAAGCCUGAUCCAGCCAUGCCGCGUGUGUGAAGAAGGCCUUUUGGUUGUAAAGCACUUUAAGUGGGGAGGAAAAGCUUAUGGUUAAUACCCAUAAGCCCUGACGUUACCCACAGAAUAAGCACCGGCUAACUCUGUGCCAGCAGCCGCGGUAAUACAGAGGGUGCAAGUGUUAAUCGGAAUUACUGGGCGUAAAGCGCGCGUAGGUGGUUAUUUAAGUCAGAUGUGAAAGCCCCGGGCUUAACCUGGGAACUGCAUCUGAUACUGGAUAACUAGAGUAGGUGAGAGGGGAGUAGAAUUCCAGGUGUAGCGGUGAAAUGCGUAGAGAUCUGGAGGAAUACCGAUGGCGAAGGCAGCUCCCUGGCAUCAUACUGACACUGAGGUGCGAAAGCGUGGGUAGCAAACAGGAUUAGAUACCCUGGUAGUCCACGCCGUAAACGAUGUCUACCAGUCGUUGGGUCUUUUAAAGACUUAGUGACGCAGUUAACGCAAUAAGUAGACCGCCUGGGAGUACGGCAG
Molecule: ribosomal RNA, 540 nt
Filed under: uncultured bacterium
Lineage: Bacteria
Description: bacterial SSU rRNA
Rfam family: Bacterial small subunit ribosomal RNA
Source: RNAcentral